UCCGCCGCCGACCCUCAACCGAGGGUGUCGGACGUCGCGACCCGUUCGCCCAGGUCGAUACUCAGGGACGCGUUUCAAGUUCGCCGGCGCGGUCGUCUCGGCGGCCGCGUCACGAUGGCGCGUUUCCGCUGUUCUCGACGCGGACGGUAGCUUUGCGCGCGGGUAAUCGACGCGGUCCUUUGUCCGGCGUCUCCGUACGUCGGACGGCGCUCGCGUCGACGCCGGUCAGCGACGAAUCUUCGGGCCUCUUUCCGACCCGUCUUGAAACACGGACCAAGGAGUCUAGCGUGCGCGCGAGUCGCGGGGUAUCCGAGUCGUCGUAGUCGUUUCGGCGGCGAACGCGACUCGUCACGAUACGAAACCCGUGUACGUACGUUGUGCGAAGGCGUAAUGAAAGUGAAAGGCGACGCUUCGCGCGUCGCCGGGGGAAGACGGUGUUCCGUGUACCACGUUUCGCGGUCAUACGUGUACCGCGGCCGGACACCCGCAUUCCCAGGGCGUCCCGCUCGUACGUCGGCCGUCGGGUCUCGGCUCGGCGGUCGGCGAACUGGGGCGCACCUACAGCGUGCACGCUGGUACCCGAAAGAUGGUGAACUAUGCCCGGCCAGGAUGAA
This 614-nucleotide ribosomal RNA is filed under the name Parasaissetia nigra. RNAcentral describes it as "eukaryotic LSU rRNA". The stretch from base 273 to 614 matches the Rfam family "Eukaryotic large subunit ribosomal RNA", at positions 665 to 850 of the family's 3401-position model. The record is from RNAcentral. Lineage: Eukaryota; Metazoa; Arthropoda; Insecta; Hemiptera; Coccidae.